AUGGGUGAUACUAUCAGGAAUCGGACGCUCCCACUCGAUGAGUCGACGGCGUCGCCGCCGCCGCCGCCGGCCUGCGUUUACUACGCAGGGUGCCCGGGCUGCGCCAUGGAGCGGAAGAAGGGGAACAACACGGGGAUCCCAUACAAGGAGUUGUUCUUUGUUGGCAUCACCACCCUUUCCUCCGCCUUACCAGUAUCAUCUCUGUUUCCCUUCUUAUAUUUUAUGAUAGAAGAUAUGCGUGUGGCAGAAAACAAAACAGACAUUGGAUUGUACGCUGGUCUUCUUGGUGCAUCAUACAUGGCUGGUAGAUGUUUUGCCUCAAUAUUUUGGGGUGUGGUGGCAGAUCGUAUUGGAAGAAAACCUAUCAUUGCGUUCUCCCUCUUCACAGUGGUAAUAUUUAAUACUUUAUUUGGAUUGAGUACAAAGUAUUGGAUGGCGAUUACCACAAGAAUGCUUCUUGGUUCACUUAAUGGCAUGCUUGCCCCAAUAAAGGCUUAUUCAGUUGAAGUUUGUCGGCCUGAACAUCAUGCUCUAGGAUUAUCCAUUGUAAGCACUGGUUGGGGCAUAGGUCUUGUUAUCGGUCCAUCUAUUGGAGGAUUUUUGGCACAGCCUGCAAAGCAAUAUCCAAACCUAUUUUCAGAGAAGUCGAUUUUUGGGAGGUUUCCUUAUUUCCUGCCAUGCCUUUGUAUUUCACUGGUUGCGUUGGUUGUUUUAAUAAGCUGCACAUGGCUACCGGAGACUCUUCAUAUGCAUAAAAACUUGCAAAGAGAAGUAGAAAUGGUUGAUGAGUCAAGUUCUGCUCCCAGUGGAGAAGCAUAUACGAAUUCAGAGAAGAGUCUAUAUCGGAACUGGCCAUUGAUGUCCUCUAUAAUUGCCUAUUGUGUUUUCACCCUUCAUGACACGGCAUACAGUGAGAUACUUGCCUUGUGGGCUGUAAGUGACAAAAGCUACGGUGGACUAAGCUUGGCAUCUAAAGAUGUCGGUCAAAUUCUUGCAGUUUCAGGUGCUGGUCUUCUUGCGUACCAACUGCUGGUUUACACACAUGUUCAUAGAUAUCUCGGAUCCAUCAUAUCAUCCCGCAUUGCAGCUGCUCUGUCCAUACCUCUCCUUGCUGCUUACCCAUUCAUGUCACAACUAUCAGGGACUAGAUUUGGGUUAGCUAUUUAUUUUGCCACAAUUUUAAAGGGUACUUUGGCGGGGCUGGGAUUUUGUUGUCCUGUCCAAUCAACGGUCGGUUUGUAUCCGCUGGUUCAUCGUGCUCACGAGAACAGGCCAAAAGUUAAAAUAUGA
RNAcentral lists this ribosomal RNA (1290 nucleotides) under Triticum aestivum (bread wheat). RNAcentral's name for it is "partial small subunit ribosomal RNA". Lineage: Eukaryota; Viridiplantae; Streptophyta; Magnoliopsida; Poales; Poaceae. The record is from RNAcentral.